AUUGAACGCUGGCGGCAGGCCUAACACAUGCAAGUCGAACGGUAACAGGAAGCAGCUUGCUGCUUCGCUGACGAGUGGCGGACGGGCGAGUAAUGUCUGGGAAACUGCCUGAUGGAGGGGGAUAACUACUGGAAACGGUAGCUAAUACCGCAUAACGUCGCAAGACCAAAGAGGGGGACCUUAGGGCCUCUUGCCAUCGGAUGUGCCCAGAUGGGAUUAGCUAGUAGGUGGGGUAACGGCUCACCUAGGCGACGAUCCCUAGCUGGUCUGAGAGGAUGACCAGCCACACUGGAACUGAGACACGGUCCAGACUCCUACGGGAGGCAGCAGUGGGGAAUAUUGCACAAUGGGCGCAAGCCUGAUGCAGCCAUGCCGCGUGUAUGAAGAAGGCCUUCGGGUUGUAAAGUACUUUCAGCGGGGAGGAAGGGAGUAAAGUUAAUACCUUUGCUCAUUGACGUUACCCGCAGAAGAAGCACCGGCUAACUCCGUG
This 490-nucleotide ribosomal RNA is filed under the name uncultured bacterium. Its description in RNAcentral is "partial 16S ribosomal RNA". It matches the Rfam family "Bacterial small subunit ribosomal RNA", at positions 30 to 507 of the family's 1533-position model. The record is from RNAcentral.